RNAcentral lists this ribosomal RNA (229 nucleotides) under uncultured bacterium. RNAcentral describes it as "partial 16S ribosomal RNA". It matches the Rfam family "Bacterial small subunit ribosomal RNA", at positions 568 to 796 of the family's 1533-position model. The record is from RNAcentral.
UUCGUAGGCGGAUUAAUAAGUCAGUGGUGAAAACCUGCAGCUUAACUGUAGACUUGCCAUUGAUACUGUUAGUCUUGAGUACGGUCAAGGUAGGCGGAAUGUGUAAUGUAGCGGUGAAAUGCUUAGAUAUUACACAGAACACCGAUUGCGAAGGCAGCUUACUGGGCCAUUACUGACGCUGAGGCACGAAAGCGUGGGGAGCGAACAGGAUUAGAUACCCUGGUAGUCC